UACGUAGGCAGCAAGCGUUGUUCGGAGUUACUGGGCGUAAAGGGUGCGUAGGCGGCUUGGUAAGUGUGGUGUGAAAUCUCCCGGCUCAACUGGGAGGGUCGCGCUACAAACUGCCGGGCUAGAGUGCGGGAGAGGAGAGUGGAAUUCCUGGUGUAGCGGUGAAAUGCGUAGAUAUCAGGAGGAACACCGGUGGUGUAAACGGCUCUCUGGACCGUAACUGACGCUGAGGCACGAAAGCGUGGGUAGCAAACAGG
Molecule: ribosomal RNA, 254 nt
Filed under: uncultured bacterium
Lineage: Bacteria
Description: partial 16S ribosomal RNA
Rfam family: Bacterial small subunit ribosomal RNA
Source: RNAcentral